AGGGAACUGACUGGAAGUCUGGAAUCACCAGUUGUGACUAGUGAAAAGUGUUGUCAGAAUCCCUGUCCCCAAGCCCUCCUCAGGAAAUUAGACUCAAGCUGAACAGUAGCUUUGGGGGCUGUCACCGUGGGAAAAGUCAGGCCUUGGAUGGUGGGGGAGAACCUUGCAGCCUGGAAUGAUAAAAUGGAUGCAGUUGUACAAGUGAGUUUGUUUAUCCUUGGAUGGGGGAAGGAAAUGCGGAAGAAAAGAGUGAUGUAUCAGCAGUUGUUCCAAGUUAAAACGAAAGAGAAAGAUGACUGUCAAAGAAUUUAUGACUAUGAUAAUCGAGGGUUACUACAAGAUAUUGAAAAUCAGACAGUGAAAAUCUUG
RNAcentral lists this long non-coding RNA (369 nucleotides) under Camelus dromedarius (Arabian camel). RNAcentral describes it as "lncRNA (ENSCDRG00005020055.1)". Lineage: Eukaryota; Metazoa; Chordata; Mammalia; Artiodactyla; Camelidae. The record is from RNAcentral.